This 382-nucleotide unclassified non-coding RNA is filed under the name Hevea brasiliensis (rubber tree). Lineage: Eukaryota; Viridiplantae; Streptophyta; Magnoliopsida; Malpighiales; Euphorbiaceae. The record is from RNAcentral.
CGACACUAGGAGCCGGCUUUUGUAUCUGCGGAUCUUAAUUCAUCAUGCAGGCUUCCUGGUCAACCGUAUGGGGUAGAUCCACGAUAGCCGCACACGUAACUGGUGAAUUACCGCCUGUCUCGUGAAGCGUGGAAAGCAACCGCCCCACGUUUUUCCGUGAACCGCUAUACCGGCUACCUUGAGAAGGGAAGGGAGUAGAUAGAUGGAUAGAAGAGAUGAGAGAUCCACGUGGAUGAUGGGAUUGGUGGUUUGAAAUGACGACAAUGUCCUUGGUGUCGUGACUUUCACGAUUUGAAAAGGUCAUCCAACGCCUCAUCAAUCACAAGGAUAAAGAUUUUUAUUAUUUUAAAGUUUUCCAGGUUAAGUGGAAUCUACCGAAAAG